This 18-nucleotide small RNA is filed under the name Arabidopsis thaliana (thale cress). RNAcentral describes it as "ATSL283560". The record is from RNAcentral. Lineage: Eukaryota; Viridiplantae; Streptophyta; Magnoliopsida; Brassicales; Brassicaceae.
UUCUUUUGCUUCUUUUUU